RNAcentral lists this ribosomal RNA (254 nucleotides) under uncultured bacterium. RNAcentral's name for it is "partial 16S ribosomal RNA". It matches the Rfam family "Bacterial small subunit ribosomal RNA", at positions 524 to 776 of the family's 1533-position model. The record is from RNAcentral.
UACGUAGGGUGCGAGCGUUGUCCGGAAUUAUUGGGCGUAAAGAGCUCGUAGGCGGUCUGUCGCGUCGGUCGUGAAAACUUGGGGCUUAACCCUGAGCUUGCGGUCGAUACGGGCAUGACUGGAGUUCGGUAGGGGAGACUGGAAUUCCUGGUGUAGCGGUGAAAUGCGCAGAUAUCAGGAGGAACACCAGUGGCGAAGGCGACUCUUUGGCCUGUAACUGACGCUGAGGCGCGAAAGCGUGGGGAGCAAACAGG